Molecule: ribosomal RNA, 92 nt
Filed under: Saimiri boliviensis boliviensis (Bolivian squirrel monkey)
Lineage: Eukaryota; Metazoa; Chordata; Mammalia; Primates; Cebidae
Source: RNAcentral
UCUACCACUCUGAAUGCACCUGGUCUGAUCGGAAGCAGAGUUAAGCCUGGUUAGUAUUUAGAUGGGACAUCCUCUGGGAAAACCUAGAUGAU